GUUAGGAAUAUUGGACAAUGGGCGCAAGCCUGAUCCAGCCAUGCCGCGUGAGUGAUGAAGGCCUUCGGGUUGUAAAGCUCUUUAGCCGAUGAUUAUAAUGACUGUAGUCGGAAAAUAAGCCCCGGCUAACUUCGUGCCAGCAGCCGCGGUAAUACGAAGGGGGCGAGCGUUAUUCGGAAUCACUGGGCGUAAAGCGUGCGUAGGCGGCUUUGCAAGUUGGGAGUGAAAGCCCAGGGCUCAACCCUGGAAUUGCUCUCAAAACUGCAAGGCUCGAAUUCGGGAGAGGAUAGCGGAAUUGUCAGUGUAGCAGUGAAAUGCGUAGAUAUUGACAGGAACACCAGUGGCGUAAGCGGCUAUCUGGACCGAUAUUGACGCUGAGGCACGAAAGCGUGGGGAUCAAACAGGAUUAGAUAUCCUUGUAGUCC
This 425-nucleotide ribosomal RNA is filed under the name uncultured bacterium. Its description in RNAcentral is "partial 16S ribosomal RNA". It matches the Rfam family "Bacterial small subunit ribosomal RNA", at positions 354 to 796 of the family's 1533-position model. The record is from RNAcentral.